RNAcentral lists this ribosomal RNA (803 nucleotides) under Selenyphantes gaimani. RNAcentral describes it as "SSU rRNA". It matches the Rfam family "Eukaryotic small subunit ribosomal RNA", at positions 983 to 1807 of the family's 1831-position model. The record is from RNAcentral. Lineage: Eukaryota; Metazoa; Arthropoda; Arachnida; Araneae; Linyphiidae.
ACGAAGUAGAGGUCGAAGGCGAUCAGAUACCGCCCUAGUUCUAACCAUAAACGAUGCCAGCCAGCGAUCCGGCUGCGUUCCUCAAAUGACGCGCCGGNCAGCUUCCGGGAAACCAAAGCUUUUGGGUUCGGGGGAAGUAUGGUUGCAAAGCUGAAACUUAAAGGAAUUGACGGAAGGGCACCACAAGGAAUGGAGCAUGCGGCUUAAUUUGACUCAACACGGGGAAACUCACCCGGCCCGGACACAGGAAGGAUUGACAGAUUGAGAGCUCUUUCUUGAUUCUGUGAGUGGUGGUGCAUGGUCGUUCUUAGUUGGUGGAGCGAUUUGUCUGGUUUAUUCCGUUUAACGAACGAGACUCUAGCCUAUUAAAUAGUCGUUCCGAUCCUUCGAGUCGGACGGUCUUCUUAGAGGGACAAGCGGCGUCUAGCCGCAUGAAAAUGAGCAAUAACAGGUCUGUGAUGCCCUUCGCUGUCCGGGGCCGCACGCGCGCUACAUUGAAGGAAUCAGCGUGUGCUUUCCCUGUCCGACAGGACUGGGUAACCCGUUGAAACUCUUUCGUGCUGGGGAUAGAAACUUGUAAUUGUUUUUCUUGAACGAGGAAUUCCUAGUAAGCGCGAGUCAUCAGCUUGUGUUGAUUACGUCACUGCCCUUUGUGCACACCGCCCGUCACUACUACCGAUUGAAUGGUUUAGUGAGGUCUUCGGAUUGGCGCUCGGAUUGGCCUUCGGGUCGAGCCGACGUGCCGAAAAGAUGAUCGAACUUGACUAUUUAGAGGAAGUAAAAGUCGUAACAAGGUAAUCGUA